This 355-nucleotide unclassified non-coding RNA is filed under the name soil metagenome. Its description in RNAcentral is "partial contains 5.8S ribosomal RNA, internal transcribed spacer 2, and large subunit ribosomal RNA". The stretch from base 1 to 120 matches the Rfam family "5.8S ribosomal RNA", at positions 35 to 154 of the family's 154-position model. The record is from RNAcentral.
GAUGAAGAACGCAGCGAAAUGCGAUAAGUAGUGUGAAUUACAGAAUUCAGUGAAUCAUCGAAUCUUUGAACGCACAUUGCGCCUUCUAGUAUUCUGGGAGGCAUGCCUGUUUGAGCGUCAUUAAGCCUCUCUCAAGUAUGAUUACUUGGAUGUGAAGGAAGAGUACCUUAAACUUAAGGAGUGUUCUCCUUUGAAAUUGAUUAGCAGAUGGUAAUGUUAUUAAAUCCCUGAUGUUGUAAGAAAUAACAGUGGUUUUGUAGACUAUUAUCUAGCUUUAAAUUAUAAUUUUUAUUAUGGUUGACCUCAAAUCAGGUAAGGAUACCCGCUGAACUUAAGCAUAUCAAUAAGCGGAGGA